AAGACUAUAGACCUGCGGAGUACCUGCGGAAGGAUCAUUACCACGUUCCAAACGUUAUCAACCCAUGCGAACUGUUUCUAUCUCCCAUCGGGCGAGAAUGAGCUGAAUGACACCCUGUGCGAGUGUGUGUGAGAUGUCCCGUUGUCAUGAUGGGCUCUAGCGGGUGUCACACAACUUAGCUGAGAGCUGAAAUAUGCAGGAGGCUAGACGGCUGUAUUUCGUUCCGGUGGCUUUUUCCUU
RNAcentral lists this unclassified non-coding RNA (240 nucleotides) under soil metagenome. RNAcentral's name for it is "partial contains 5.8S ribosomal RNA, internal transcribed spacer 2, and large subunit ribosomal RNA". The record is from RNAcentral.